This 253-nucleotide ribosomal RNA is filed under the name uncultured bacterium. RNAcentral describes it as "partial 16S ribosomal RNA". It matches the Rfam family "Bacterial small subunit ribosomal RNA", at positions 524 to 776 of the family's 1533-position model. The record is from RNAcentral.
UACGUAGGGUCCGAGCGUUGUCCGGAAUUAUUGGGCGUAAAGCGCUCGUAGGCGGCUUGUCACGUCGGGUGUGAAAGCCCGGGGCUUAACCCCGGGUCUGCAUUCGAUACGGGCAGGCUAGAGUGUGGUAGGGGAGAUCGGAAUUCCUGGUGUAGCGGUGAAAUGCGCAGAUAUCAGGAGGAACACCGGUGGCGAAGGCGGAUCUCUGGGCCAUUACUGACGCUGAGGAGCGAAAGCGUGGGGAGCGAACAGG